Oreochromis aureus is the source of this 345-nucleotide long non-coding RNA. RefSeq lists it as uncharacterized. The transcript has 3 exons. The record is from RefSeq and is a predicted model, not a curated record. NCBI's taxonomy places the organism in Eukaryota, Metazoa, Chordata, Actinopteri, Cichliformes, Cichlidae.
UCGUGUUUUUCUCGCUGUUGCUUUUGGUCUGCUCUGUUUCUACAAAUCAGACAGAGGCAGAUAAUGAAAUUCUUGCCCGGAAGAUUGAACUUCAUGAACUCCAACUCUCACAGGAUAUCCAUGCUGUGCUGAGAGAGCUGACCGCCUCACUGGCUGAACAGAAAGUGGAGAUCAGGACCUUAAAACAGGAGAAUCAAGAAAAAGUAGCAAAGCUGGAGACUGAAGUGAAGCUACAGAAGACUGAGAUCGACCAGCUGAAGCUGCAGUCAAAAGUCAAACAGGUGGCUUUCUCAGCCUCUCUGCUGGAUCAAGGAAGUGGAUAUACUGGACCAUUAAACACAGAGA